GACAAUGUGUCUGGCAAGUUCUUCCCCUGUGUGACUUGCUCAUAUUUCAAAUAGUGGAACAGGAAUCAUACCAGUGAAGCCCAUGGCGGCUCCUUCUCGUGACUGUCUAAGCAGCCCAGCUCCAUCUCGAAAGUCAAUGUACACCAGAUCUAUGGCUUGGAGACCAAAGGCUUUCGCUAUGACAACAAUCUUUUGCCGGGCGUAGAGAAUAUCCAGGGUUUCUUUACUACUUGUUGCACCUGAAAAUGGGAUGUUAACAGAAAAAGGAGGCUUUAACUUUGGAAACCGCACCCAGAUAUUUAUUAUAAAACCUCAGUUUGUACAGAUAUCUAAACCUCCCUGGAAAUUGCUCCUCCGCAAAAUAAAAUUAUUGAAAUACAAAUGAAGACAGGGACGCGUGGAGGCCAAGUUAAACCUCGAAUGUGUCUGUUUAACUGACAAGGCAUCUUUCAAUAGAAUUACUUCUACCUGCAUUAAGAGAAGGCCCCUUCCCCAUUCUGGGAGGCUGGGUCAGGGUCGCAAGGGACUCCUGAUAUAUUUUUUUCCUUCUUAUCAUCGCUUGAAAAGUGCCAGUCCAAAGACAGCACCACAAAGGGUGGCCCAGCAGCUAUGCAGGGCAAUGGUUCGUGUUUCACAGCAAGCACAGAACUGUGUGUGCUGCGAUUGCCCUGUCCAAACUGAAGUUCUGAGCCAAAUGCUUCAGCUUCAGGGUCUGUCUGGAUGGAGAACUUGGGGAGACGGGAGGGCACUUGUUUUGAGAGGGCUGGAAAGCAUCGAUAUGCCUUCUGUAGCCCGCUGAACCGUUGGAUACACAAGUCUCCUGGAAAGACUCGUAUUCAAAUAAAUUCAGUUUUUUCACCCUGAGGGGAGGGAAGUGUCCCUGUUUACAUUUGGAACAUGCCACUCCCUGCCUAGGGAAAGUGCCUGUCUUCAGGUCACUGGGGCUGGUUUCUGUGGCCUCGGCCUCUUUUCUAAAUGCUUCACGGUCUCCAGUCAAACAUGCAGACCCCUCAAGUGCAGCUCACAAGGGAUGGUGAGAAUCGGUGAAAAUCAGCACAUUUAAUACUAAGAGUUCGAAACAUAUUGUAAGAGAAAUUUAAGAUCCAUUUAAAAUAAUAUUUACCUACCGCAUAUUCUGUAGAAAACAAUUCAUUAAGGCAAAUGUGAAAUUGCCUUAAAUUUGCGUUAGAAAUCUAGACAGCCCACAGACUGAUAUGAAAACAAAAUACUGAAGCAACGGUGAGGCUGUUCACAUAAUAUAUUUAUUAGGAGCAAAGGAGAUGCCAU
This 1287-nucleotide long non-coding RNA is filed under the name Homo sapiens (human). RNAcentral's name for it is "HSALNT0205957". Lineage: Eukaryota; Metazoa; Chordata; Mammalia; Primates; Hominidae. The record is from RNAcentral.